CCUACGGGAGGCAGCAGUGAGGAAUAUUGGUCAAUGGACGGAAGUCUGAACCAGCCAUGCCGCGUGCAGGAAGACGGCUCUAUGAGUUGUAAACUGCUUUUGUACAAGGGUAAACCUGAAUACGUGUAUUCAGCUGAAAGUACUGUACGAAUAAGGAUCGGCUAACUCCGUGCCAGCAGCCGCGGUAAUACGGAGGAUCCAAGCGUUAUCCGGAUUUAUUGGGUUUAAAGGGUGCGUAGGCGGAUGGAUAAGUUAGAGGGGAAAUGUCCGAGCUUAACUCGGGAACUGCCUCUAAUACUGUUGAUCUAGAGAGUAGAUGCGGUAGGCGGAAUGUAUGGUGUAGCGGUGAAAUGCUUAGAGAUCAUACAGAACACCGAUUGCGAAGGCAGCUUACCAAUCUAUAUCUGACGUUGAGGCACGAAAGCGUGGGGAGCAAACAGGAUUAGAUACCCCAGUAGUC
Molecule: ribosomal RNA, 460 nt
Filed under: uncultured bacterium
Lineage: Bacteria
Description: partial 16S ribosomal RNA
Rfam family: Bacterial small subunit ribosomal RNA
Source: RNAcentral